GACGAACGCUGGCGGCGUGCUUAACACAUGCAAGUCGAACGGAAAGGCCCUGCUUUUGCGGGGUGCUCGAGUGGCGAACGGGUGAGUAACACGUGAGUAACCUGCCCUUGACUUUGGGAUAACUUCAGGAAACUGGGGCUAAUACCGGAUAGGAGCUCCUGCUGCAUGGUGGGGGUUGGAAAGUUUCGGCGGUUGGGGAUGGACUCGCGGCUUAUCAGCUUGUUGGUGGGGUAGUGGCUUACCAAGGCUUUGACGGGUAGCCGGCCUGAGAGGGUGACCGGCCACAUUGGGACUGAGAUACGGCCCAGACUCCUACGGGAGGCAGAAGUGGGGAAUAUUGCACAAUGGGCGGAAGCCUGAUGCAGCAACGCCGCGUGCGGGAUGACGGCCUUCGGGUUGUAAACCGCUUUCGCCUGUGACGAAGCGUGAGUGACGGUAAUGGGUAAAGAAGCACCGGCUAACUACGUG
This 468-nucleotide ribosomal RNA is filed under the name uncultured bacterium. RNAcentral's name for it is "partial 16S ribosomal RNA". It matches the Rfam family "Bacterial small subunit ribosomal RNA", at positions 28 to 507 of the family's 1533-position model. The record is from RNAcentral.